CGACUACACUUCGCAAUAAACUCAAUGUUGCACUUGCACAGUGAAAUUCAAUCUCCCAUCAGUCAGUGAAUGCUUAUGUUGAGGUACUAAUGCUACACUGAAUUUAAAUGGAGGGUGCCGUUCACUGAAUUCCUAAAGAAAGGUUAAUAACUUUCUGGUAUUUUGACCAAAUUAUCCACGAGUUUGGAAAACAAGACCCAAAAUAGGAACUGUUUCUAAAUCGUUAAAACUUGUGGAAUGUCUAAGUUAUGUGGUUACUAGUUUCAGAGUAAUUGGUUCCAUAAUAUUAUUACUCCCACGAUAUGAGGAGGUUGCAUAUUAGUCUUUUGAUGUUUUAAACUGGGUUUUCACCAUUUUGUACCAGAUGAAGGGAUUAUCAAAUGUCAAAGAUGAAGUCCAUGGGGUUCUUGAUUCUUUUUCCAUUUUGCAUAUUAGUCUUUUGAUUAAUGUGAAAAAGGCAUUAUAAGCACUAGCAUAUUAUGAGAUGGAAUGAAAAGGUAAAAUGUUACCCUGUGUAACAUACAUACAUACCUUUUAUUCCUUCUUUUUAUCUGUUAUUUAAGUCGUUUGUGGUUCUGAGUUUCGUGAAUAAAUCUAUUAAUGAAAUUUGUAAAAGGUGACCAAGUUUGAUAGAAUUAU
Erigeron canadensis is the source of this 639-nucleotide long non-coding RNA. RefSeq lists it as uncharacterized. NCBI's taxonomy places the organism in Eukaryota, Viridiplantae, Streptophyta, Magnoliopsida, Asterales, Asteraceae. The transcript is spliced from 3 exons. The record is from RefSeq and is a predicted model, not a curated record.